AUACCCGUCUGCCUUGUCUGUCAGUCUUCAAAAAAACAUGAAAACCACAAAAUGCGACCAGUUCAGGAGGCUGCAGAAGAGUAUAAGGAGAAACUCAGGACUGCACUGGCUCCACUGCGGGAGAAGCUUAAAGCCUUUAAUGCAGUGAAAUUAGACUGUGAUAAAACAGCAGAGCACAUCAAGAGCCAGGCCCAGCACACAGAGAGACAGAUAAAGAUGGAGUUUGAGAAACUUCAACAGGUCCUAAAAUAUGAAGAGGCAGCUAGGAUUGCUGCACUGAGGGAGGAAGAGAAGCAGAAGAGUCAGCUGAUGAUUGAGAAGAUGACAGAAGAGAUAUCAUCCCUUUCAGAACAAAUCAGAGCCAUAGAACAGGAGCUGGGAGCUGAAGACGUCUCAU
This is a long non-coding RNA of Anguilla rostrata (American eel), 397 nucleotides long. RefSeq lists it as uncharacterized. Lineage: Eukaryota; Metazoa; Chordata; Actinopteri; Anguilliformes; Anguillidae. The transcript is spliced from 3 exons. The record is from RefSeq and is a predicted model, not a curated record.